Molecule: long non-coding RNA, 2493 nt
Organism: Heterocephalus glaber (naked mole-rat)
Lineage: Eukaryota; Metazoa; Chordata; Mammalia; Rodentia; Bathyergidae
Source: Ensembl
GCGGGGCUUCCCUGCCCUCCUGCUGCUCUCCGACCUGCCUCGCCCCUGGCCGUCCCAGCUCCCCGGGGUGCGCUCCGAUUGGGGCUGUACGAAACAGUUUCAGCACCAAAGACAUGGGAGUGACGAAGAUGCACGAGGCCUGGACCCUGCGGAGCUCACAUUCCGGUGGGAUAGAGACAGAAAACAGGCCCGUACUAUAAUAUCCGGUAACGGAAAGUAGGAAGAAGUAGGAAGGGCUAGAGAGUAACAUGCAGACUUGCUGGUAGGAAGGGCCUCUCUACGGGGUAUCAUUUGAACAAGAUGCCUCAAGGGGAGGAAGAGCCUCGGAUAGCAAGAUCUCGGACCAUGGAUAGAAGAGCGAAUGCAGAGGUCCUAGACCAAGGGCCGACUUAGUGUACUGGGAAAAGAAAGAUCAGUAUGGGUAGAAAAAUGUCACCGAGGAAAUGUCGCAGAAGGUAAAACAGAAAGGUAAGCAGAGGCCAGGUGAGGCAGAGCCGCUUAGCCGGUGGUAAGAAAAUUUCAUUUUAUUCUGAGCGCAGUGGGAAGAUAUUGAAGAACUUGCAUCAGUGUGAUAGAAUGUAAUUUGGGCUUUUGAAGACUGCUGUGGCCGUGCACACGUUCGAAGUUAUUAAGUGGCAUAAGCAACGAGUGCUUAGCGUGGGGAGGCUGCGAAGGGGACUGUUUGAAAUGAGCCUCCGUCUCCGGAUGGAAAGGCAGGAUCUGUGAUGGAAAGAGGAACAUUUCAUCAGUGUCCCCUGGCUGCGGCCUUAGACACCACAUGGCAGCGAUGCGUGCCCUGAAUGCUUGGGGCGCUUUCUACCCACCUGCCUGUAAACCAUGCAAAGUCUGGGGCCCUGUGCGCCUCCACCACGCGGGGCUGCAGAGUCGCCUCCACUCCCCUCUCCUGCUCUACAGUAGGUAUUCCUGGAAGAGCCGUCUCCUGAGGUUGACUUGCUCCACUGAGGGGGAUCUGGGCUCCUCCCGACUGCAGGGAGCCCUACAGCCCCCGGAUACACUGCAGUAGCUCAGUGGCAGAUUGGAGCUUGCCCAGUGCAGAUCGAGCCAGAAUGGAGAGCAGAGAAAUCUCCCUUCCCACCCCUACUCUCCUCGUGGCAAACAAACCACUUGUUCUGGUGACCGGUUGUGGCUCUGCUCACGAAGCAGGGACUAGCUUGUAACUCGUCAUCUUGAAUUUGUGCCCGAUCGUUUUCUGUCUAAUUUUCCUGCUCCCGUAUGCUCACGACCUUAGUUCACACCUGCCACAAAACCAUCAGUACUUAAGUCCCUUCUCCGGUUUUGUUUUCUACAGAAGCCGAGCUAAAGCCAGGGGAUCCAACCUCCAGUGUGAGGUGUGUUAAGGUUGAGGUUUGUGAUAAAUACAAAUAGGGUUUUGGACAUGUAUGUCUAGACUGUGGAGAAGAGGUCCAGGUAGGCCAAGGCUUCUCAUCCUCAGCACUGCUGACAUUUGAACGAGUUACUGCUGGGCUGUGGAGGGCUGUCCUGUGCAUUGGAGGACAUUCAGUAGCAUCCCUGGUCUCACUUCUGGAGAUACCAGCAGCACCAGUGCCCAGUUGUGACAACCAAAAAUUUCUCCAGGCACUGCCCGAUCACCUGCCCAACCACGAGGGUGGAUGUUGUGGUUAGAUCUGACAUGUCCCCCAGAUUCUCUUGUGUGUGGAAGGCCAUUGGACCAUGGGGUGACUUUCUGUUGGGAGGGGGUCUGGCUGGACCAGCCCCUGGGACAUCUCCUCACUUUGCUUCCUGUCUUCCAGGGGAUGAGCAGCUGUCCCUCACCCGAACCCUUCUCUUGGCCCAUUUCUGCCGACUCCACUGAAACCACCAAAAUAAACCUGUCUUCCUUUAAGUUGCAGGUGUGGGUAUUGUGUUUCAGUGACAAAGAAGGUGACUAAGAUUGAAGGAGAGCACUUGAGCACGAAGGUAGAAGGAGAAGAGGAAACAUUCAGAGAUUGUGCUUCAGGAUGGGAGGCCAGGCGGAGAAGGAAGAGCUGGCAACACAGCCAAGAGGGAGCAGCUGGCAAGCUCCCUGGUCAACGCAGACAAAGCACCACAACAUCCUCAAAUCCCCGACAGGGCCUCCUUGUGCUGCACAGUGUGUCUCUCUUCUCGUGUUCCUUCAGCAUCGUUGGUAGGUGCCGAUGGAAGGAGCGAGAAAAGGAAAAUGUGUGCAGUGACUAGAUACACUCGGCCGACUCUCUGACAUCUGAAAGACACUGUAGACUUAAUCCAAGAGCCAGCAGUAACCUUAGGCUGUCCUUGAGUGUGAAGAGUGACUCCUCACGUCUCCAUAAACAGGCCCUGUAUACCACAGUUCUCUCCUGGUACUCUGAGCAAAUGUUUGGAAAAUGCUUAUGCAAAGCUUAUUAAAUGUGCUUGCAAAUCUAGAAUACUGACUUAAAUUGCAGCAAUGCAAUACAAAGCAAAAUAGAUGGAAGUUUUCUGGACAUGAGUUUUGUUAAAACAGGAAACAAAACA